GUCGAUUAUGAUAAGAUAGAGAGGGCAAAAAAGAACAGAUCAUUAAGUUAAAUUUAUAUAAUGAUUUGUCGUCAAGACUAUAAUUUAAAGACGAACCAAUUAGGUAUAAGAUAACAGGUCUCGGAUUUUGGCACGAAAUUCAUCCACUCAUUUGGCUAAAUAGAAUUUUGGCAUUAUAGCCGUUCUUAGUUGGUGGAGCGAUUUGUCUGGUUAAUUCAGAUAACGAACGAGACUUUAACCUGCUAAAUAGUAGACUGGUCCUCUGUGCUCGUUUAGGGAGCGGCUUCUAUUGCUUCUUUAUGGAGUAGUGUGGUCAUGAUCCGGCGGGUGCGGUGCCAGUUUUUACUUCUUAGACGGAAAAGGGGCACACUUCAGUCGCACGAAAUUGAGCAAUAACAGGUCUGUGAUGCCCUUAGAUGUCCGAGGCCACACGUGCGCUACAAUGACGGUGCAAGCGAGUCUGGGAACCUGGCCUGAAAGGGUUGGGCAAACUAUUUCAUCACCGUCGUGACUGGGAUCGGGGCUUGCAAUUAUUCCCCGUGAAAGAGGAAUUCCUGGUAAGUGCAAGCCAUAAGCUUGCGCUGAUUACGUCCCUGCCCUUUGUACACACCGCCCGUCGCUACUACCGAUUGAAUGGUUUAGUGAGGUCACUAGAAGAUCGUCCGCAAAUUAUAGUCUCAACGAUUUUACUAGAAGUCAUCUACGUUAG
RNAcentral lists this non-coding RNA (709 nucleotides) under Schistosoma curassoni. Its description in RNAcentral is "Eukaryotic small subunit ribosomal RNA". It matches the Rfam family "Eukaryotic small subunit ribosomal RNA", at positions 1222 to 1767 of the family's 1831-position model. Lineage: Eukaryota; Metazoa; Platyhelminthes; Trematoda; Strigeidida; Schistosomatidae. The record is from Rfam by way of RNAcentral.